AUUGAACGCUGGCGGCAUGCCUUACACAUGCAAGUCGAACGGCAGCACGGGUGCUUGCACCUGGUGGCGAGUGGCGAACGGGUGAGUAAUAUAUCGGAACGUACCUUAUUGUGGGGGAUAACGCAGCGAAAGCUGUGCUAAUACCGCAUAAUCCCUAAGGGGGAAAGCGGGGGACCGUAAGGCCUCGCGCAAUUAGAGCGGCCGAUACCUGAUUAGCUAGUUGGUGAGGUAAAGGCCCACCAAGGCGACGAUAGGUAGCUGAUGUGAGAGCAUGAUCAGCCACACGGGCACUGAGACACGGGCCCGACUCCUACGGGAGGCAGCAGUGAGGAAUAUUGGUCAAUGGACGCAAGUCUGAACCAGCCAUGCCGCGUGAAGGAUGAAGGCGUUCUGCGUUGUAAACUUCUUUUAUUGGGGAAGAAACCUGAGAUUUCUAUUUCAGCCGACGGUACCCAAGGAAUAAGCACCGGCUAACUCCGUGCCAGCCGCCGCAGUAA
This 497-nucleotide ribosomal RNA is filed under the name uncultured bacterium. RNAcentral describes it as "partial 16S ribosomal RNA". It matches the Rfam family "Bacterial small subunit ribosomal RNA", at positions 30 to 523 of the family's 1533-position model. The record is from RNAcentral.